CAGGAUGAACGCUAGCUACAGGCUUAACACAUGCAAGUCGAGGGGUAGCAGGGUAGCAAUACCGCUGACGACCGGCGCACGGGUGAGUAACACGUAUCCAACCUUCCCAUAACUCAGGGAUAGCCUUUCGAAAGAAAGAUUAAUACCUGAUAGUACUUUUUCAAGGCAUCUUGAAAAAGUUAAAGAUUUAUUGGUUAUGGAUGGGGAUGCGUUCCAUUAGAUAGUUGGUGAGGUAACGGCUCACCAAGUCUUCGAUGGAUAGGGGUUCUGAGAGGAAGGUCCCCCACAUUGGUACUGAGACACGGACCAAACUCCUACGGGAGGCAGCAGUGAGGAAUAUUGGUCAAUGGGCGAGAGCCUGAACCAGCCAAGUAGCGUGAAAAGGAUGAAGGUCCUAUGGAUUGUAAACUUCUUUUAUAGUAGAAUAAAGUGAGCCACGUGUGGUUUUUUGUAUGUAUACUAUGAAUAAGGAUCGGCUAACUCCGUGCCAGCCGCGGC
This 498-nucleotide ribosomal RNA is filed under the name uncultured bacterium. RNAcentral describes it as "bacterial SSU rRNA". It matches the Rfam family "Bacterial small subunit ribosomal RNA", at positions 25 to 518 of the family's 1533-position model. The record is from RNAcentral.